Molecule: ribosomal RNA, 331 nt
Filed under: uncultured bacterium
Lineage: Bacteria
Description: bacterial SSU rRNA
Rfam family: Bacterial small subunit ribosomal RNA
Source: RNAcentral
GACCUUUCGGGGUUGGGGAAAGCGGCAAACGGGGUAGUAAUGUGUCGGUACGUGCCCUCAGGUCGGGGAUAGCCAGGGGAAACUCUGAUUAAUACCCGAUGAUCUCGAGAGAGCAAAGGUCCGCUGCCGGAGGAGCGGCCGACAUGGUAUCAGGUAGUUGGUGAGGUAACGGCCCACCAAGCCUUAGACGCCUAGGGGGCGUGAGAGCGCGACCCCCACCACUGGGACUGAGAUACUGCCCAGACACCUACGGGUGGCUGCAGUCGAGAAUCUUCCGCAAUGGGCGAAAGCCUGACGGAGCGACGCCGCGUGCGGGAUGAAGGCCCUUGGG